RNAcentral lists this ribosomal RNA (520 nucleotides) under Fusarium brachygibbosum. Its description in RNAcentral is "eukaryotic LSU rRNA". The stretch from base 144 to 297 matches the Rfam family "5.8S ribosomal RNA". The record is from RNAcentral. Lineage: Eukaryota; Fungi; Ascomycota; Sordariomycetes; Hypocreales; Nectriaceae.
CAACUUCCCCAAACCCCUGUGAACAUACCUUUAUGUUGCCUCGGCGGAUCAGCCCGCGCCCCGUAAAACGGGACGGCCCGCCGCAGGAACCACAAAACUCUGAUUUUAGUGUAACUUCUGAGUCUAAAAAACAAAUAAAUCAAAACUUUCAACAACGGAUCUCUUGGUUCUGGCAUCGAUGAAGAACGCAGCAAAAUGCGAUAAGUAAUGUGAAUUGCAGAAUUCAGUGAAUCAUCGAAUCUUUGAACGCACAUUGCGCCCGCCAGUAUUCUGGCGGGCAUGCCUGUUCGAGCGUCAUUUCAACCCUCAAACCCCCGGGUUUGGUGUUGGGGAUCGGGCUGUACUCCAGCCCGGCCCCGAAAUCUAGUGGCGGUCUCGCUGCAGCCUCCAUUGCGUAGUAGCUAACACCUCGCAACUGGAACGCGGCGCGGCCAAGCCGUUAAACCCCCAACUUCUGAAUGUUGACCUCGGAUCAGGUAGGAAUACCCGCUGAACUUAAGCAUAUCAAUAAGCGGAGGAA